This 533-nucleotide ribosomal RNA is filed under the name uncultured Vibrio sp. Its description in RNAcentral is "bacterial SSU rRNA". It matches the Rfam family "Bacterial small subunit ribosomal RNA", at positions 1 to 507 of the family's 1533-position model. Lineage: Bacteria; Pseudomonadati; Pseudomonadota; Gammaproteobacteria; Vibrionales; Vibrionaceae. The record is from RNAcentral.
UCGCGCCAUCAGAGAGUUUGAUCCUGGCUCAGAUUGAACGCUGGCGGCAGGCCUAACACAUGCAAGUCGAGCGGAAACGAGUUAUCUGACCUUCGGGGAACGAUAACGGCGUCGAGCGGCGGACGGGGUGAGUAAUGCCUGGGAAAUUGCCCUCGAUGUGGGGGAUAACCAUUGGAAACGAUGGCUAAUACCGCAUAAUGCCUUCGGGCCAAAGAGGGGGACCUUCGGGCCUCUCGCGUCAGGAUAUGCCCAGGUGGGAUUAGCUAGUUGGUGAGGUAAGGGCUCACCAAGGCGACGAUCCCUAGCUGGUCUGGGAGGAUGAUCAGCCACACUGGAACUGAGACACGGUCCAGACUCCUACGGGAGGCAGCAGUGGGGAAUAUUGCACAAUGGGCGCAAGCCUGAUGCAGCCAUGCCGCGUGUAUGAAGAAGGCCUUCGGGUUGUAAAGUACUUUCAGUCGUGAGGAAGGUAGUGUAGUUAAUAGCCGCAUUGCUUGACGUUAGCGACAGAAGAAGCACCGGCUAACUCCGUG